AAUCAACGCUGGCGGCGUGCCUCAGACAUGCAAGUCGAACGCGAAAGUUCCCUUCGGGGGGCAAGUAGAGUGGCGCACGGGUGAGUAACACGUAGGUAAUCUACCUUUGGAUUGGGAAUAACAACCGGAAACGGUUGCUAAUACCGAAUAAUGCAGCGGCACCUAAUGGUGACAGUUGUUAAAGCGGGGGAUCGCAAGACCUCGCGUCUAAAGAGGAGCCUGCGGCAGAUUAGCUAGUUGGUAAGGUAACGGCUUACCAAGGCGAUGAUCUGUAGCCGGCCUGAGAGGGCGGUCGGCCACACUGACACUGACAUACGGGUCAGACUCCUACGGGAGGCAGCAGUCGGGAAUUUUGGGCAAUGGGCGAAAGCCUGACCCAGCAACGCCGCGUGAAGGAUGAAAUCCCUCGGGAUGUAAACUUCGCAAGAACGGGAAGAAUAAGCGAGAGUUAAUAUCUCUCGCGAUGACGGUACCGUUUGUAAGCUCCGGCUAACUCCGUGC
Molecule: ribosomal RNA, 501 nt
Filed under: uncultured bacterium
Lineage: Bacteria
Description: bacterial SSU rRNA
Rfam family: Bacterial small subunit ribosomal RNA
Source: RNAcentral